This 800-nucleotide ribosomal RNA is filed under the name uncultured bacterium. Its description in RNAcentral is "bacterial SSU rRNA". It matches the Rfam family "Bacterial small subunit ribosomal RNA", at positions 8 to 795 of the family's 1533-position model. The record is from RNAcentral.
AGAGUUUGAUCCUGGCUCAGGACGAACGCUGGCGGCGCGCUUAACACAUGCAAGUCGAGCGAGAACCAGUCCUUCGGGACUGGGGAAAGCGGUGAACGGGUGAGUAACACGUGAGUAAUCCACCCUCGGCACCGGGAUAGCCCGGGGAAACCCGGAUUAAUACCGGAUAGCCCAACAGCCUUUCGGGGCGGUUGGAAAAGGUAGCUUAGGCCUCUGGCCGAGGACGAGCUCGCGGCGGAUUAGCUUGUUGGCGGGGUAACGGCCCACCAAGGCGACGAUCCGUAGCUGGUCUGAGAGGACGAUCAGCCACACUGGGACUGAGACACGGCCCAGACUCCUACGGGAGGCAGCAGUGGGGAAUCUUGCGCAAUGGGCGAAAGCCUGACGCAGCGACGCCGCGUGAGGGAAGAAGGCUUUCGGGUUGUAAACCUCUUUCAGGAGGGACGAAGCUCCUCGGGUGAAUAGCCCAGAGGGUGACGGUACCUCCAGAAGAAGCCCCGGCUAACUACGUGCCAGCAGCCGCGGUAAUACGUAGGGGGCUAGCGUUGUCCGGAAUCAUUGGGCGUAAAGCGCGCGUAGGCGGCCCGGUAAGUCCGCUGUAAAAGUCAAAGGCUCAACCUUUGAAUGUCAGUGGAUACUGCCGGGCUAGAGUCCGGAAGAGGCGAGUGGAAUUCCUGGUGUAGCGGUGGAAUGCGCAGAUAUCAGGAGGAACACCAACGGCGAAGGCAGCUCGCUGGGACGGUACUGACGCUGAGGCGCGAAAGCGUGGGGAGCGAACAGGAUUAGAUACCCUGGUAGUC